RNAcentral lists this ribosomal RNA (905 nucleotides) under Fonsecaea monophora. RNAcentral describes it as "LSU rRNA". It matches the Rfam family "Eukaryotic large subunit ribosomal RNA", at positions 35 to 960 of the family's 3401-position model. The record is from RNAcentral. Lineage: Eukaryota; Fungi; Ascomycota; Eurotiomycetes; Chaetothyriales; Herpotrichiellaceae.
UAAGCAUAUCAAUAAGCGCAGGAAAAGAAACCAACAGGGAUUGCCUCAGUAACGGCGAGUGAAGCGGCAACAGCUCAAAUUUGAAAUCUGGCCUCUUGGGGUCCGAGUUGUAAUUUGUAGAGGAUGUUUCGGGUACCGCCUCGGUUUAAAUUUCUUGGAACAGAAUGUCAAAGAGGGUGAGAAUCCCGUCUUGGACCGGCGGUAGGGCCUAUGUGAAACUCCUUCGACGAGUCGAGUUGUUUGGGAAUGCAGCUCAAAAUGGGUGGUAAAUUUCAUCUAAAGCUAAAUAUUGGCCAGAGACCGAUAGCGCACAAGUAGAGUGAUCGAAAGAUGAAAAGCACUUUGAAAAGAGAGUUAAACAGUAUGUGAAAUUGUUGAAAGGGAAGCGCUUGCAACCAGACUUGAGCGCGGCGGUUCCCCCUUGCUUCUGCUUGGGUUACUCCGCCGUGUCCAGGCCAACAUCGGUUCUGGGGGUCGGUCAAAGGCUCUGGGAAUGUAUCUACCCACGGGUAGACUUAUAGACCAGGGUGUCAUGCGACCUCCCGGGACCGAGGAACGCGCUUCGGCUCGGAUGUUGGCGUAAUGGUUGUCAGCGACCCGUCUUGAAACACGGACCAAGGAGUCUAACAUCUAUGCGAGUGUUUGGGUGUCAAACCCGGAACGCGGAAUGAAAGUGAACGGAGGUAGGAAGCUUCGGCUGCACUAUCGACCGAUCCUGAAGUUUACGGAUGGAUUUGAGUAAGAGCAUAGCUGUUGGGACCCGAAAGAUGGUGAACUAUGCCUGAAUAGGGUGAAGCCAGAGGAAACUCUGGUGGAGGCUCGCAGCGGUUCUGACGUGCAAAUCGAUCGUCAAAUUUGGGUAUAGGGGCGAAAGACUAAUCGAACCAUCUGGUAGCUGGUUCUGC